Molecule: non-coding RNA, 25 nt
Filed under: Mus musculus (house mouse)
Lineage: Eukaryota; Metazoa; Chordata; Mammalia; Rodentia; Muridae
Source: RNAcentral
UUAAAAGCAAGGGUAUCGAGGCAUG